UACAGAGGCCACGAGCGUUAGGCGGAAUCACUGGGCUUAAAGCGUGUGUAGGUGGAUGACUAAGUACCUUGUGAAAUCCCACGGCUCAACCGUGGAACUGCUUGGUAUACUGGUUGUCUUGAGGCACUCAGGGGCGAGCGGAACAGAUGGUGGAGCGGUGAAAUGCGUAGAUAUCAUCUAGAACACCAAUGGUGAAGGCAGCUCGCUGGGGGUGUACUGACGCUGAGGCACGAAAGCCAGGGGAGCGAACGGG
This 253-nucleotide ribosomal RNA is filed under the name uncultured bacterium. Its description in RNAcentral is "partial 16S ribosomal RNA". It matches the Rfam family "Bacterial small subunit ribosomal RNA", at positions 524 to 776 of the family's 1533-position model. The record is from RNAcentral.